AUGGAGAAGGAGUUGCUUCCCUUUCCUCUCCUGCCAUGGCUCCUCCUCACAUGCUUCUCUCCAUUCUUUGUUCGUUCUAUGGAAUUGAGUACCUCUGCAUGCUCAAGUUCCAACAUCUCUAUCCCUUAUCCUUUUGGUGUCCAUGGCCAAAGCCCCUCCCCAGCUCAAGGGUUCGAGAUCAAUUGUACUUCAUCUGGUCCUAGGCUUCCCAUAGGCAACAACUCAAUUAGUAUUCUCAACAUCUCCCUGCUGGGUGGUUAUGUGACCAUCCUGGCUAGUGCCGCUUCCCGUUCCCCGCAGUGCAGAGGGAACAUUGCUAGCUUCAGCCUUGAGGGGACAAACUUCACCUUCUCCGAUACAAGGAACAAGUUCACCGCUGUCGGCUGUAAUAUGGUGGCCAUGCUGUUGAAUGGUACCAGUGGUGGUUACAGCGGUGGCUGCGCUUCUUUUUGCUCUAAUAAUAGCAUCGUCGAUGGUGCUUGCUCUGGUGUGGCUUGCUGCCAAGCACCGGUGCCAAAGGGGUUGAAGAAGCUGUAUUCAGAUUUCACAAACAUAAACAUAACUGCCAGUCUCAGCAAGUAUACUUCAGCAUGUGCUGAGGCGUUCAUCGUGGAGCAGAACUCCUAUGCUUUCGCUACUGCUGACCUGAAGAUCCUGAACAACUCAAAUAAAAGCCCUCCUCAAUACCGGCAUGUUGUUCUUGAGUGGUCCAUAGAUGGUGGCAGCUGUGAGGAGGCAAGCCGCUCUGCAUCAUAUGCUUGCAAGGAGAAUUCUUACUGCUAUAACUCGUCUAAUGGGAUUGGAUAUCGCUGCAAUUGUACCAACGGGUUUCAGGGGAACCCGUACCUGCAAGGGCCUGGUGGAUGCCAAGAUAUCGAUGAGUGCUUCCUUGGAAAUCCAUGCACACAUAGCUGCAUCAACGUGAAGGGCGGUUUCAACUGUACUUGCCCAUCAGGGAUGAGUGGUAAUGGCCGAAAGGAUGGAAGUGGCUGCAAUGGAAUUGGCACGCUGCAGAUUUCAAUAGUUGUGGGACUAGCUCUGCUACUGCUUCUCCUUGUUUUCAGUUUCUGGACUCACUGUCUUGUUAAGAGGAGAAAGCUUGCGAAGAAAAGACAGAGAUAUUUUAUGCAGAAUGGUGGUGUGUUACUGAAGCAGCAGAUGCUUUCACGGAAGGCACCGCUGCGGAUAUUUACCUCAGGUGAGCUUGACAAGGCAACCAACAAAUUCAGCGAUAACAAUAUUGUUGGCAGAGGUGGAUUCGGGACAGUCUACAAAGGUAUAUUAUCGGAUCAGACGGUUGUAGCAGUCAAAAGGUCGCAGCGGGUUGAUCAGAGCCAAGUGGAGCAAUUCGUGAAUGAGCUGGUCAUUCUUUCACAAGUGACCCACAAGAACGUGGUUCAGCUACUAGGCUGUUGUCUUGAGGCAGAAGUUCCCUUAUUGGUGUAUGAAUUCAUCUCCAAUGGUGCCCUGUUUUAUCAUCUCCACAAUACAUCAAUCCCAAUGUCAUGGGAGGACCGCCUAAGGAUUGCAGUUGAAACCGCAUCGGCACUUGCAUACUUGCACUUGGCUGCAAAGACGCCAAUCGUUCACAGAGACGUCAAGUCAUCGAACAUUCUUCUCGACACGAGCUUCACCGCAAAGGUGUCUGAUUUCGGCGCGUCAAGGCCACUACCCCCCAAUCAGACCCAUGUGACGACCUUGGUGCAGGGCACACUAGGGUACAUGGACCCUGAGUACUUCCAGACAAGCCAACUGACCGAGAAAAGUGACGUUUACAGCUUUGGCGUGGUACUUAUUGAGCUUUUGACAAGGGAGAAACCAAUAUCAGACGGUCAGGUCGACGAGGUUAGAAGUCUAGCAAUGCAUUUUAGCACGUUGUUCCAUCAGAACCAGUUGCUGAAGAUUGUAGACUCUCAAGUGGCCGAGGAAGCUGGGAUGAGACAUGUCAAAACAGUCGCGCAGUUGGCUUUGCGAUGCUUGAGGUCGAGAGGUGAAGAGAGGCCGAGGAUGAUUGAGGUUGCGGUUGAACUUGAAGCGCUGAGAAGGCUGAUGAAACAACACUCUGUCCUGAAGAGUGAAGAAGAAGAGCCUCUGCUUCCUCUGCUUCGAGACUUGAGUUGCCACGGGGAGAUGAAUUUCGAUGCGCAGUUGAGUUCGAACCAUGAUGGAAUUGCCAAGGAUGAAAGUAUGGAGAUCAUUCUACUCCCAUCCGGCGAUCUCUCAUGUUAG
Molecule: ribosomal RNA, 2229 nt
Filed under: Triticum aestivum (bread wheat)
Lineage: Eukaryota; Viridiplantae; Streptophyta; Magnoliopsida; Poales; Poaceae
Description: partial small subunit ribosomal RNA
Source: RNAcentral